UGGGGAAUUUUGGACAAUGGGCGAAAGCCUGAUCCAGCAAUGCCGCGUGUGUGAAGAAGGCCUUCGGGUUGUAAAGCACUUUUGUCCGGAAAGAAAUCCUUGGCUCUAAUACAGUCGGGGGAUGACGGUACCGGAAGAAUAAGCACCGGCUAACUACGUGCCAGCAGCCGCGGUAAUACGUAGGGUGCAAGCGUUAAUCGGAAUUACUGGGCGUAAAGCGUGCGCAGGCGGUUUGCUAAGACCGAUGUGAAAUCCCCGGGCUCAACCUGGGAACUGAUUGGUGACUGGCAGGCUAGAGUAUGGCAGAGGGGGGUAGAAUUCCACGUGUAGCAGUGAAAUGCGUAGAGAUGUGGAGGAAUACCGAUGGCGAAGGCAGCCCCCUGGGCCAAUACUGACGCUCAUGCACGAAAGCGUGGGGGAGCAAACAGGAUUAGAUACCCUGGUAGUCCACGCCCUAAA
Molecule: ribosomal RNA, 459 nt
Filed under: uncultured bacterium
Lineage: Bacteria
Description: partial 16S ribosomal RNA
Rfam family: Bacterial small subunit ribosomal RNA
Source: RNAcentral